GAUGAACGCUGGCGGCGUGCCUAAUACAUGCAAGUCGAGCGAACGGACGAGAAGCUUGCUUCUCUGAUGUUAGCGGCGGACGGGUGAGUAACACGUGGAUAACCUACCUAUAAGACUGGGAUAACUUCGGGAAACCGUAGCUAAUACCGGAUAAUAUUUUGAACAGCAUGGUUCAAAAGUGAAAGACGGUCUUGCUGUCACUUAUAGAUGGAUCCGCGCUGCAUUAGCUAGUUGGUAAGGUAACGGCUUACCAAGGCAACGAUGCAUAACCGACCUGAGAGGGUGAUCGGCCACACUGGAACUGAGACACGGUCCAGACUCCUACGGGAGGCAGCAGUAGGGAAUCUUCCGCAAUGGGCGAAAGCCUGACGGAGUAACGCCGCGUGAGUGAUGAAGGUCUUCGGAUCGUAAAACUCUGUUAUUAGGGAAGAACAUAUGUGUAAGUAACUGUGCACAUCUUGACGGUACCUAAUCAGAAAGCCACGGCUAACUACGUG
RNAcentral lists this ribosomal RNA (497 nucleotides) under uncultured bacterium. RNAcentral's name for it is "partial 16S ribosomal RNA". It matches the Rfam family "Bacterial small subunit ribosomal RNA", at positions 28 to 507 of the family's 1533-position model. The record is from RNAcentral.